This 87-nucleotide ribosomal RNA is filed under the name Perilla frutescens var. crispa. The record is from RNAcentral. Lineage: Eukaryota; Viridiplantae; Streptophyta; Magnoliopsida; Lamiales; Lamiaceae.
CCCCAUAAAAAACCCGCAGUUAAGCGUGUUGGGGGCGAGAGUAGUACUAGGAUGGGUGCCCCCCUGGGAAGUCCUGGUGUUGCCCCC